Xenopus tropicalis (tropical clawed frog) is the source of this 1571-nucleotide long non-coding RNA. RefSeq lists it as uncharacterized. The record is from RefSeq and is a predicted model, not a curated record. The transcript has 5 exons. NCBI's taxonomy places the organism in Eukaryota, Metazoa, Chordata, Amphibia, Anura, Pipidae.
CCGGCCAGUCUCUACAGGACCACUGUAUGAUCUGAUCUUUCCCCAUGCUGAUUUAGCCCAGUGUAUGGAUGGCAGAAUAAGCCGAUAGCUGCUCCUUUGGCACCCAUACUAAACUAUAAUCUCAAACAUGUAGAGGGGUAUUUAUAAUCCGAACCCUACAGGUGUUGAAAAGCUGCUUCUAACAACAACCUACAAAUAUUGACCUACAACUCAUCUCUCAGCAUCCUCUGACAGCACUACCGCCCCCUGUGGGGCCUGUUUGCCACGCCUCCCUCAUACAGGUCACAUGGGGCACAUUGUUAACCCAACUACAAACCAUCCAUCCCCCAAGUUUUUUUUUUAAUUUAUUGACUGUUUGGCAGCCCGAUAAGAAGCUCCUUGUACUUUAAAUCCAUCCUCCUCCAUUUCCCCUAUGAACAGUCACUACCAGCUAAUCGCCUUCAGCCCACAUCAUCAUUCCCACUAAAAAAAUAAAAUACAUAUUCGCGCAAGCCGUAUUCCCCGCCUCCCAACAUACGUCUUAUUUCCCAUAGGUUGUUCCUUACUAGCCUUCAGAAUGGAGAACGCAGAUUGGCUGCUUUCUCCUGCCCUUCACAAAGUCUAGCUCUGACUGGCUUCCGUAGCAGAGAGUGAGUAAGAGGCGGAUGGCUGGGACUGAUGGUUUCCAUGGCGGAAGCAGGUUAGGACAUGGAUGACUUCCUGAACUGGAGGCGUCGAAUUCGUGAAAUCCGCGAGGUGCGCGCUGUACGUUACCAAGAGAGGGCCAAGCACAUUGCUGUUGACGGGGAUACUCUCAGGUGACCACAGCCCCUGAGCAGGGAAGAUGAAUUUGCCCCCAGUAGCUCCUCAUGUUCUUUUCUGCUGAUUCACUGCACAAGAUCUGGGCUGCUGUCACCUGAGCGUAGGAACCAACAUCUUCUUUAUGAUAUUUGAUGACCACUAAGCAUGUGCAGUAUCACUGACACUUAAAAGAUGGCAUAACAAGAUUCAAGGUGGCCACCUCCCAUGGAAACUUUAAAGGCCUGGAUCAUUAUGGUUGUAGGGCUGUUGAUCCUCUACACUAGUAUACACUUUAAGCAGUCUGAACAGUGUUCUGUUUAAGUUUUACCAUUUCUGAUGCAAGUUGCAAGCAGGGAUUGGCAAUUCAGAAGAAUACUUCAUACAGUGGAAUAGAAAUUAUAAAAAGUUAAACGACUGGUAACUAAGUAGCACAAAAGCAAUGGGAAUUACUGGACACACUCUGUGGAUGAGAAAUGGAACUUUACCUGCUUUUCCAUUGCAAGCUGCUUCCUUUGGGUGAUGGUUCUUCCUUUGCCUCAGUGAAUCUUCCUCCUUCUCCUCCACUAGGGCCAUCUUGCCCUCUUGAUGAACAAAGGAGUCCUCGCUCCCCCUCCUAACACGUUACCAGUAAUUCUUCUUCUCCUCCUCUGACUCCUUCCCCGCAAGGUUUCAGGUCAGCUUGUUUCUCCCUAUCAGCUGAAGUGGCUGAUUUAACCUUUGGAAUUUAAAGUGAACUUUAAUCUAAAUUCCCCAAAUUAUCUGAUUGCAAUAAAAAAAUACAGAUGUUUCAA